RNAcentral lists this ribosomal RNA (402 nucleotides) under uncultured Candidatus Solibacter sp. RNAcentral's name for it is "bacterial SSU rRNA". It matches the Rfam family "Bacterial small subunit ribosomal RNA", at positions 355 to 774 of the family's 1533-position model. The record is from RNAcentral. Lineage: Bacteria; Pseudomonadati; Acidobacteriota; Terriglobia; Bryobacterales; Solibacteraceae.
UGGGGAAUCUUGCACAAUGGGGGCAACCCUGAUGCAGCGACGCCGCGUGAGCGAUGAAGCCCUUCGGGGUGUAAAGCUCUUUCGGCAGGGAAGAUAAUGACGGUACCUGCAGAAGCAGCUGCGGCUAACUACGUGCCAGCAGCCGCGGUAAUACGUAGGCAGCGAGCGUUGUUCGGAGUUACUGGGCGUAAAGGGUGUGUAGGCGGUUGUUUAAGUUUGGUGUGAAAUCUCCCGGCUCAACUGGGAGGGUGCGCCGAAUACUGAGAGGCUAGAGUGCGGGAGAGGAAAGUGGAAUUCCUGGUGUAGCGGUGAAAUGCGUAGAUAUCAGGAGGAACACCGGUGGUGUAAACGGCUUUCUGGACCGUAACUGACGCUGAGGCACGAAAGCGUGGGUAGCAAACA